Molecule: non-coding RNA, 106 nt
Organism: Capsicum annuum
Lineage: Eukaryota; Viridiplantae; Streptophyta; Magnoliopsida; Solanales; Solanaceae
Source: Rfam
ACCUCAUGAUUUGGGCAUUGCAUUAUCUUAUCGUUGAGUCGUUGCCAAACUUCAUAUAAUGGUUUGCCAUUAAGUUGGCAAAAGUUGGUGAUUUCAUCCCUUAGUU